GAUUAACGCUGGCGGCGUGCCUAAUACAUGCAAGUCGAGCGAACAGACGAGGAGCUUGCUCCUCUGACGUUAGCGGCGGACGGGUGAGUAACACGUGGAUAACCUACCUAUAAGACUGGGAUAACUUCGGGAAACCGGAGCUAAUACCGGAUAAUAUAUUGAACCGCAUGGUUCAAUAGUGAAAGACGGUUUUGCUGUCACUUAUAGAUGGAUCCGCGCCGCAUUAGCUAGUUGGUAAGGUAACGGCUUACUAAGGCAACGAUGCGUAGUCGACCUGAGAGGGUGAUCGUCCACACUGGAACUGAGACACGGUCCAGACUCCUACGGGAGGCAGCAGUAGGGAAUCUUCCGCAAUGGGCGAAAGCCUGACGGAGCAACGCCGCGUGAGUGAUGAAGGUCUUCGGAUCGUAAAACUCUGUUAUUAGGGAAGAACAAAUGUGUAAGUAACUAUGCACGUCUUGACGGUACCUAAUCAGAAAGCCACGGCUAACUACGUG
RNAcentral lists this ribosomal RNA (497 nucleotides) under uncultured bacterium. RNAcentral's name for it is "partial 16S ribosomal RNA". It matches the Rfam family "Bacterial small subunit ribosomal RNA", at positions 28 to 507 of the family's 1533-position model. The record is from RNAcentral.